UACGGGGGGAGCAAGCGUUGUUCGGAUUUACUGGGCGUAAAGGGCGCGUAGGCGGCCAGCGCAAGUCAGUUGUGAAAUCUCCGGGCUUAACUCGGAACGGUCAACUGAUACUGCGCGGCUAGAGUGCAGAAGGGGCAACUGGAAUUCUCGGUGUAGCGGUGAAAUGCGUAGAUAUCGGGAAGAACACCCGUGGCGAAGGCGGUUCUCUGGGACGGUACUGACGCUGAGGCGCGACAGCGUGGGGAGCAAACAGG
This 254-nucleotide ribosomal RNA is filed under the name uncultured bacterium. RNAcentral's name for it is "partial 16S ribosomal RNA". It matches the Rfam family "Bacterial small subunit ribosomal RNA", at positions 524 to 776 of the family's 1533-position model. The record is from RNAcentral.